CAUAUUUCGGGUAUUAGAUAUCGAUACAUCUGCGUUAGCCGUGUGCAGAACUGCAAAUCCGAGGUGGGUAACCAGUUGCGACAUGGUAAUGGCGCAGGUAGCUGUGCAUUUCACUGAAUGGGGGCCAUGCACUGCAUACUGUAUUUGAUCGGGCUAAUAUUGCUAUUCUUGGGAAUAGUUGGGAACAUAAUUGGGCUAACUAUUCUCGUCAAUUAUGCUCUGUUGGAUUUGGUGUCUCGUGGGCCCAACUCCGCCUCAGCCACAGCAUCAACGACGCACGUCACCACCUUGUUGGGAGAGCCGCAUCAUGUAUGGAAUCAUGAAAUGGAGCCUUGGUUGAAUCCUGGGCACUGGGGCCCCGCUCUCAAGUUUAAAGUUAGAGCCGAAAUCCACGCGUCGAGAUACCCGCAGCAACUUUCCAUCUUUCGACAAACCUUAAUCAGCUUUCCUGCUGAAGUUUUCAAAUGGGGCGGAAGCUUGGUGUAUGGCUUGAGAUAUAUCGGAAGUCCCCUUGUGGCUUGGCCUACUUCUCUUGAUAUUCCAUUCUCUUCAAAGAAAAUUAAGAUGCCAUCAGGUCUUGCACAGCUGAACGAUCCAGGUAAUGUGGCAUUCGGAGUCUUUGGAGGAGCGGGAGAACGAGGACGAGGAGACCAUAUAUUUCCAUGUAACUACCUGAUAGC
This 680-nucleotide small RNA is filed under the name Histoplasma capsulatum. RNAcentral's name for it is "hypothetical RNA". RNAcentral also lists the same sequence under 1 other name. The record is from RNAcentral. Lineage: Eukaryota; Fungi; Ascomycota; Eurotiomycetes; Onygenales; Ajellomycetaceae.